This 468-nucleotide ribosomal RNA is filed under the name uncultured bacterium. RNAcentral describes it as "partial 16S ribosomal RNA". It matches the Rfam family "Bacterial small subunit ribosomal RNA", at positions 28 to 507 of the family's 1533-position model. The record is from RNAcentral.
GACGAACGCUGGCGGCGUGCUUAACACAUGCAAGUCGAACGGAAAGGCCCGGCGUUUGUGCGGCUCUCGAUUGGCGAACGGGUGUGUAACACGUGAGUAACCUGCCCUUAACUUUGGGAUAACUUCACGAAACUGGGGCUAAUACCGGAUAGGAUCUCCUGCUGCAUGGUGGUGGUUGGAAAGUUUCGGCGGUUGGGGAUGGUCUCGCGGCUUAUCGGCUUGUUGGUGGGGUAGUUGCUUACCAGGCCUUUGACGGGUAGCCGGCCUGGGAGGGGGACCGGCGACAUUGGGACUGAGAGACGGCCCAGAAUGCUACCGGCGGCAGCAGUGGGAAAUCUUGCGCAACGGGCGGACGCCUGUUGCAGCAACCUCGCGUGCGGGAUGACGUCCUUCGGGUUGUAAACCGCUUUCGCCUGUGCCGAAGAGUGAGUGACGGUAAUGGGUAAAGAAGCACCGGCUAACUACGUG